Molecule: ribosomal RNA, 467 nt
Filed under: uncultured bacterium
Lineage: Bacteria
Description: partial 16S ribosomal RNA
Rfam family: Bacterial small subunit ribosomal RNA
Source: RNAcentral
GACGAACGCUGGCGGCGUGCUUAACACAUGCAAGUCGAACGGAAAGGCCCUGCUUUUGUGGGGUGCUCGAGUGGCGAACGGGUGAGUAACACGUGAGUAACCUGCCCUUGACUUUGGGAUAACUUCAGGAAACUGGGGCUAAUACCGGAUAGGAGCUCCUGCUGCAUGGUGGGGGUUGGAAAGUUUCGGCGGUUGGGGAUGGACUCGCGGCUUAUCAGCUUGUUGGUGGGGUAGUGGCUUACCAAGGCUUUGACGGGUAGCCGGCCUGAGAGGGUGACCGGCCACAUUGGGACGGGGAUACGGCCCAGACUCCUACGGGAGGCAGCAGUGGGGAAUAUUGCACAAGGGGCGGAGGCCGGAUGCAGCAACGCCGCGGGCGGGAGGACGGCCUUCGGGUUGUAAACCGCUUUCGCCUGUGACGAAGCGUGGGUGACGGUAAUGGGUAAAGAGGCACCGGCUAACUACGU